GGUGUGUCCGUAACAAUUUAUAAAAGCAUGCUAAGAGAUGAUCUUUCUUAGGAAGUGUAAAGAUAACACCUCUCUUGUCAACUACGCGAACAUCUGGGCAAGGGUGAGGGUUGUUGUUUCAUAAAUCUGUGGUGCACGGAUGGCUUAUCUGAUGCACUAAAGAUAUGCAAUAUGCAACCUCAAGAUGAAAGAAAAACAACCGCAUUAAACAAGUUCUUGAAACUAGACGUUCCAAAAAACCAAAAGCAGAUGUAUGAGAAAGUUGAGGACAGUUUAGUAGAAGACUGGAAAGACUCAGACUAAUGUAACUGAAACGUUUUGAGAAUAUGUAUAUACAACAUAUGUAAUUAAAAACUUUUACCAAUUUC
This is a long non-coding RNA of Stegodyphus dumicola, 368 nucleotides long. The record is from RefSeq and is a predicted model, not a curated record. NCBI's taxonomy places the organism in Eukaryota, Metazoa, Arthropoda, Arachnida, Araneae, Eresidae.